UCAGACUUGUUUAAACUGUUCGGCCGGUCUUCUGACCGGUUUACUCAGUUUGGACAGGCCAGCAUCAGUUUCGGCGGCCGGAUAAAGGCUCUGGGAAUGUGGCCUCCACUUCGGUGGAGGUGUAUAGCCCAGGGUGUAAUACGGCCAGCCGGGACUGAGGCUCCGCGCUUCGGCUAGGAUGCUGGCGUAAUGGUUGUAAGCGAC
This 204-nucleotide ribosomal RNA is filed under the name uncultured yeast. RNAcentral describes it as "partial 26S ribosomal RNA". Lineage: Eukaryota; Fungi. The record is from RNAcentral.